CCUACGGGAGGCAGCAGUGGGGAAUUUUGCGCAAUGGGGGCAACCCUGACGCAGCAACGCCGCGUGAGUGAUGAAGGCCUUCGGGUCGUAAAGCUCUGUCAGAGGGGAAGAAAUGCAGGUGGUGAACAACCAUUCUGUUUGACGGUACCCUCAAAGGAAGCACCGGCUAACUCCGUGCCAGCAGCCGCGGUAAUACGGAGGGUGCGAGCGUUGUUCGGAAUUAUUGGGCGUAAAGCGCGUGUAGGCGGUUUGUUAAGUCGGAUGUAAAAGCCCCGGGCUAAACCUGGGAAGUGCAUUGGAGACUGGCAGGCUUGAGUACGGGAGAGGAGAGUGGAAUUCCCGGUGUAGGAGUAAAAUCCGUAGAUAUGGGGAGGAACACCGAUGGCGAGGGCGGCCCUCUGGACCGAUACUGACGCUGAGACGCGAAAGCGUGGGGAGCAAACAGGAUUAGAUACCCUGGUAGU
Molecule: ribosomal RNA, 464 nt
Filed under: uncultured Geobacteraceae bacterium
Lineage: Bacteria; Pseudomonadati; Thermodesulfobacteriota; Desulfuromonadia; Geobacterales; Geobacteraceae
Description: partial 16S ribosomal RNA
Rfam family: Bacterial small subunit ribosomal RNA
Source: RNAcentral